UCUACAUCGCGAUUCGCCAUAAUUGUAC
Molecule: small RNA, 28 nt
Filed under: Bombyx mori (domestic silkworm)
Lineage: Eukaryota; Metazoa; Arthropoda; Insecta; Lepidoptera; Bombycidae
Description: ovarian small RNA-29439
Source: RNAcentral